This is a non-coding RNA of Borealophlyctis nickersoniae, 97 nucleotides long. NCBI's taxonomy places the organism in Eukaryota, Fungi, Chytridiomycota, Chytridiomycetes, Rhizophlyctidales, Borealophlyctidaceae. The record is from the annotation of a GenBank genome assembly.
GGUCAGAUGGCCGAGUUGGUCCAAGGCGUUCGACUCAAGUUUCUCGCUUGGAAUUCGAAUCUCGUAAGAGGCGUGGGUUCGAAUCCCACUCUGACCA